This is an RNA transcript of Octopus sinensis (East Asian common octopus), 1411 nucleotides long. RefSeq lists it as uncharacterized. The record is from RefSeq and is a predicted model, not a curated record. Lineage: Eukaryota; Metazoa; Mollusca; Cephalopoda; Octopoda; Octopodidae. The transcript is spliced from 9 exons.
CCGAGAAUCACUUGACCUAUUUAAUCGGAGGUUUCCUCCUCCUUUUCGAGGCGCCGUUUCGCACGUGGAUCGUAUAAACAGAAUGGCGUUGUUAUUACACAAAAUAAGGCAUGCGACCGUUUCUGACUGUGAAGACAUUGUCCACCUUCUGCAGGAACAAGAGCAGACUGGAAAGAAGAGAAAAGCACCUUCUGUUGAUGAGCUAAAAACCCACUGCUUUGAUGGUGAGAACUCUUUUAAUAUCCUCAUUGCUGAAAUGAAUGAUAAAGAUUCUGCUAAACGUGACAACAACAUUCCAUUGGUUGGCUAUCUCCUCUACAACUAUCACUUCUGUGUAUUUGACUCCAAGAGUUUACGAAUCACUGAUGCCUAUAUCUCUGCAGUCUCAGAACACAAAGAAAACAUCUUGAGAAGUCUUGUUGGCCAUUUAGUCAAGGAACGUGUAAAAGCUGGAGAAAAGAGAACGCCACCUUCUGUGGAUGAUCUAAAAACCCACUGCUUCAAUGGAGAGAACUUAUCUAAUAUCCUCAUUGCUGAAUGGAAUCAUAAAGAUCCUUCAAAAGCAGACGACAGACCAAGCACGGGGCCACUGGUUGGAUAUAUGUUCUACCAAUACCAAUUCUCCUCAGGGGAAGGCAUGACUAUACGAAUAACUGACCUGUACGUGUUACCACUACCAGAAUAUGAGUCCAUCUGUGAAGAUCUCUUUCAUUUCCUGUGCAAGAUGUCUGUUGAUGAGAAUUGUGUCCAAGUGCAAUGGAAAACGAAUGGUAACAAUGACUUGGAAAACUUAGGCAAAUAUUUUAAUGCCAUGAAUGCGAGAGAGGUGGAAAAGUGCCUUGCAAAGAAACUUGAAAAGCAUCAGCUGAAAAAAAUUUGUUCUAGUUGCUAAGAAAUGCAACUUUGUUCCCUUUUUUUCUAAAGGAAAAUCAAAGAAAAAUAAACGAGAACAAAGGCAGGAGAUAAGGGCAGAAGAAAAAAUACACAGGCAAGAUUCUGUAGAUGGAUGGAUAAACAUUUAUAUGUGUGUGUAUUGUUUUAGUUUUUAAUUGUAGCUAUUUAUAGAAUAAAUAUUAAUUGAAGAACUCUAUACCUUUCAAACAGACUACUGUAUUUUCUUGUCUUCGAAAAAAUUGACAGUGACCUCAAAGUUUCAGUAUAGUUGCCUUUGUCAAUCGACAGUAGCUAAGCUGAAACUGAGAUGACUUGAUUUUUUACCUGAGAUUAAGAUAUAACAGCAGAUUCAAAUUAAUAAAGGAAUUUCUCCUUCUUUUCUUCCUACCCAACUCUGGCAACAUACAUCUUCAAUAUGUAACUGUACAAAAUCCCACACAUACUCACUUCCUUGUAUAGAGGUGUGUGGGAACUUUUCUAGUAGUAAUAAAGUGCCAACUAUUAUCUUAAUUCAUAU